RNAcentral lists this long non-coding RNA (1538 nucleotides) under Anser brachyrhynchus (Pink-footed goose). RNAcentral describes it as "lncRNA (ENSABRG00000021056.1)". The record is from RNAcentral. Lineage: Eukaryota; Metazoa; Chordata; Aves; Anseriformes; Anatidae.
CCUAGCAGGUCUCAGGGCCUCCAAGAUGCAGGCAGAGAUGUCCAGGUAGGAUUUCCCAUGGCUUGCCUGGGCUUUUGUUCUGCUAUGAUGCAGCAAGAGGUCAGAACCAGAUGCUGAGAGGGGAAACACCACAGGGCUGGUGUUCAGCAACAAGGCACGCGCUUCUCCUCCCUGCUCCUGCCCUUAGCAGUACAGCUGUCACUGCAGCUUUGGAAAUGCCUCUGCAGACCACAAACCACUGCACUUGCACAAGGGACCUGCAUCCCCCUUCCCUUACAUCACGCCUGCAAGCUUUGCUGCCAAAAAAACUUUCAAAUUCCCAUUUGCACACUGGAGGCCAGGGGUUUCUCUCCUCCAGGCUCUGCCCCCGAAGCCGGGGCUAAAAGGGAGGAAGAUACAGCACAGAUAGGGCCGCAGAUCCAGGCAGAGAGCGUGGCAUUACCAUGGGGAAAAAGGCCGCCUUUGAGUCCUGAACUGAGAAAAAUGGAGCUGGGAGGCACCAAAAGAGACUAAAGGGGGUAUCACUGCUAAAGAUGGCCUGGACAUUACAUCUGCACAGCAAUGGGAGGACACCACGAGAGCCCAGCUCUGUGAACCCUCAGUGUCACCUACCAACCACAAGUGAGCCUCUGCAUGACAGCAAGACCCCAAAACCAAUAGCAGUGGGCAAGCCUGUUUUUCAAGGGCACCCCAACCCGUUAGCAAGAAGAGGCAUCGCCAUCCCUGCAGCCACUAGAUGGUGCCAAGAGAAAGAGCGUGGGAGGAACGGGGUGAGGAAGAGGAGGGCACCCGCGCCUCCAGCUGUCCCCUGCCACCCGAAAGCCUGGCCGUGGGGUGAGGGACAAACCCCAGGUAUGUACAGUUUGCAGCGGAAGAUCUCCCAGCCCAUGUCCGUGGGGAGGCAUCGUCCUGGCUGGGGAGUGUUUGGGACCUAACGGCGAUGAGGUUGUGGCUGGGAAGUCCUCGACUGGUUUUGUGCUGGGUUGGCCAGCUGGUAUCGCCCAGUGUGGUUGGGCUCACACCAGGAGUGCUGUCCCAGCUCCUCCUGUGCUGUCCCCAUCAGAUGUCCCUGGUUUCUGCAACAAGCAAAGAUGUGGUGCAUGGGAAGAUGGAGAUUUCUCUGCCCUCGUGAAGGAAACCUGUGCCUAUGCUAGGAUGGGACCUGGAGAUUGCUCCCAGCAGGGCCCUUGCAGGCUCCCUGUGGGAGAAAGCACGGCUGGAAAUAGGGCUGGGGUGGGGGACAUGGGUGCGCCGGGUGGAGCUGCAGAGAUGACAGCCUCCUUGCAAUUUCUGGGUGCAAUGCCUCCCCUGCCUUCCGGAGCCUGCAAGGAUUUGGGCCACAUCUUUCGGUUGUAGUGCAAGAUCAAAAGAAAACCUCAUUUGGCUUCAUUUCAAUGAAAGCUAAAAGUCUGAAAAUGCAAAAGCCAAGUGAAAUUUCUCUGUAUCUGUCAGCCUGUUGAAUUUGCCCAUCUGUGCCAGGUUGCAUGACUUUGUGUCUCGCACUUCGUUCUGGUUCUCCUAAAAGACUUGGUUCCCGG